RNAcentral lists this ribosomal RNA (619 nucleotides) under uncultured Candidatus Saccharibacteria bacterium. Its description in RNAcentral is "bacterial SSU rRNA". It matches the Rfam family "Bacterial small subunit ribosomal RNA", at positions 755 to 1397 of the family's 1533-position model. Lineage: Bacteria; Candidatus Saccharimonadota. The record is from RNAcentral.
GAAAGCGUAGGGAGCAAACGGAUUAGAUACCCCGGUAGUCUACGCUGUAAACGAUGGAUACUAGCAGUUUCGGGUAUCGCCCUCGGAGUUGCGAAGCUAACGCGUUAAGUAUCCCACCUGUGUAGUACGGCCGCAAGGCAAAACAUAAAGGAAUUGACGGGGACCCGCACAAGCGGUGGAGCGUGAUCUUUAAUUCGAUGUAAACGAUAAACCUUACCAAGGCUUGACAUCUCGGGAAGGCUUCCGAAAGGAAACUGUGCCUCGGGAACCCGAAGACAGGUGAUGCAUGGCCGUCGUCAGCUCGUGUCGUGAGAUGUUUGUUAAGUCCAUCAACGAGCGCAACCCUUGCAACCAGUUGUAUUUUUCUGGUAGGACUGCCCGGUAACGGGGAGGAAGGAGGGGAUGAUGUCAGGUCAGUAUUUCCCUUACGCCUUGGGCUGAAUCGCGCUACAAUGGCUGGUACAAUGCGAAGCGAAGCAGUGAUGUGAAGCAAAUCGCACAAAGCCAGUCCCAGUUCGGAUAGAAGGCUGAAACUCGCCUUCUUGAAGUCGGAAUCGCUGUAAUCGCAGAUCAGCAUGUUGCGGUGAAUACGUUCCCGGGUCUUGCACACACCGCCCGU